RNAcentral lists this unclassified non-coding RNA (345 nucleotides) under soil metagenome. RNAcentral describes it as "partial contains 5.8S ribosomal RNA, internal transcribed spacer 2, and large subunit ribosomal RNA". The stretch from base 1 to 119 matches the Rfam family "5.8S ribosomal RNA", at positions 35 to 154 of the family's 154-position model. The record is from RNAcentral.
GAUGAAGAACGUAGCGAAAUGUGAUACGUAAUGUGAAUUGCAAAUUCAGUGAAUCAUCGAGUCUUUGAACGCACAUUGCGCCCCCUGGUAUUCCGGGGGGCAUGCCUGUCCGAGCGUCAUUGCUGCCCUCAAGCACGGCUUGUGUGUUGGGCCCCGUCCUCCGAUCCCGGGGGACGGGCCCGAAAGGCAGCGGCGGCACCGCGUCCGGUCCUCGAGCGUAUGGGGCUUUGUCACCCGCUCUGUAGGCCCGGCCGGCGCUUGCCGAUCAACCCAAAUUUUUAUCCAGGUUGACCUCGGAUCAGGAAGGGAUACCCGCUGAACUUAAGCAUAUCAAUAAGCGGAGGA